UACGAAGGGUGCAAGCGUUAUCCGGAUUCACUGGGUUUAAAGGGUGCGUAGGUGGGCAGGUAAGUCAGUGGUGAAAUCUCCGGGCUUAACCCGGAAACUGCCAUUGAUACUAUCUGUCUUGAAUACCGUGGAGGUGAGCGGAAUAUGUCAUGUAGCGGUGAAAUGCUUAGAUAUGACAUAGAACACCAAUUGCGAAGGCAGCUCACUACGCGAAUAUUGACACUGAGGCACGAAAGCGUGGGGAUCAAACAGG
RNAcentral lists this ribosomal RNA (253 nucleotides) under uncultured bacterium. RNAcentral describes it as "partial 16S ribosomal RNA". It matches the Rfam family "Bacterial small subunit ribosomal RNA", at positions 524 to 776 of the family's 1533-position model. The record is from RNAcentral.